This 253-nucleotide ribosomal RNA is filed under the name uncultured bacterium. RNAcentral describes it as "partial 16S ribosomal RNA". It matches the Rfam family "Bacterial small subunit ribosomal RNA", at positions 524 to 776 of the family's 1533-position model. The record is from RNAcentral.
UACGGAGGGUGCAAGCGUUAUCCGGAUUCACUGGGUUUAAAGGGUGCGUAGGUGGGCAGGUAAGUCAGUGGUGACAUCUCCGGGCUUAACCCGGAAACUGCCAUUGAUACUAUCUGUCUUGAAUACCGUGGAGGUGAGCGGAAUAUGUCAUGUAGCGGUGAAAUGCUUAGAUAUGACAUAGAACACCAAUUGCGAAGGCAGCUCACUACACGAAUAUUGACACUGAGGCACGAAAGCGUGGGGAUCAAACAGG